Lagopus muta (rock ptarmigan) is the source of this 261-nucleotide long non-coding RNA. RefSeq lists it as uncharacterized. The record is from RefSeq and is a predicted model, not a curated record. The transcript is spliced from 3 exons. NCBI's taxonomy places the organism in Eukaryota, Metazoa, Chordata, Aves, Galliformes, Phasianidae.
GCUUAAAAAAAUAAACCACUAGAAGCCAAUUUCCAAAGUCUGCCUAAGAAGACAGAAUAAAACACUACUGAAUGCCUAUACAGGGAAAACCUUUUCUGAGCUCAUCAAACAGAGAAAAGGGUGAAAAAAGCUGAUGCCUGAUGUAUGAAGGAGAUUAUAUGUACUCAUGCAGAAGGAAAGAAAAUGUCAAACAUUCCUUCAAUCCUUGCAGUGGAUACUGAAUCUCCAUAGAGAAAUUCUGAUAAGAGAGAAGGUGGUGGG